RNAcentral lists this ribosomal RNA (1469 nucleotides) under Staphylococcus aureus. RNAcentral describes it as "bacterial LSU rRNA". It matches the Rfam family "Bacterial large subunit ribosomal RNA", at positions 3 to 1472 of the family's 2925-position model. The record is from RNAcentral. Lineage: Bacteria; Bacillati; Bacillota; Bacilli; Caryophanales; Staphylococcaceae.
UUAAGUUAUUAAGGGCGCACGGUGGAUGCCUUGGCACUAGAAGCCGAUGAAGGACGUUACUAACGACGAUAUGCUUUGGGGAGCUGUAAGUAAGCUUUGAUCCAGAGAUUUCCGAAUGGGGAAACCCAGCAUGAGUUAUGUCAUGUUAUCGAUAUGUGAAUACAUAGCAUAUCAGAAGGCACACCCGGAGAACUGAAACAUCUUAGUACCCGGAGGAAGAGAAAGAAAAUUCGAUUCCCUUAGUAGCGGCGAGCGAAACGGGAAGAGCCCAAACCAACAAGCUUGCUUGUUGGGGUUGUAGGACACUCUAUACGGAGUUACAAAGGACGACAUUAGACGAAUCAUCUGGAAAGAUGAAUCAAAGAAGGUAAUAAUCCUGUAGUCGAAAAUGUUGUCUCUCUUGAGUGGAUCCUGAGUACGACGGAGCACGUGAAAUUCCGUCGGAAUCUGGGAGGACCAUCUCCUAAGGCUAAAUACUCUCUAGUGACCGAUAGUGAACCAGUACCGUGAGGGAAAGGUGAAAAGCACCCCGGAAGGGGAGUGAAAUAGAACCUGAAACCGUGUGCUUACAAGUAGUCAGAGCCCGUUAAUGGGUGAUGGCGUGCCUUUUGUAGAAUGAACCGGCGAGUUACGAUUUGAUGCAAGGUUAAGCAGUAAAUGUGGAGCCGUAGCGAAAGCGAGUCUGAAUAGGGCGUUUAGUAUUUGGUCGUAGACCCGAAACCAGGUGAUCUACCCUUGGUCAGGUUGAAGUUCAGGUAACACUGAAUGGAGGACCGAACCGACUUACGUUGAAAAGUGAGCGGAUGAACUGAGGGUAGCGGAGAAAUUCCAAUCGAACCUGGAGAUAGCUGGUUCUCUCCGAAAUAGCUUUAGGGCUAGCCUCAAGUGAUGAUUAUUGGAGGUAGAGCACUGUUUGGACGAGGGGCCCCUCUCGGGUUACCGAAUUCAGACAAACUCCGAAUGCCAAUUAAUUUAACUUGGGAGUCAGAACAUGGGUGAUAAGGUCCGUGUUCGAAAGGGAAACAGCCCAGACCACCAGCUAAGGUCCCAAAAUAUAUGUUAAGUGGAAAAGGAUGUGGCGUUGCCCAGACAACUAGGAUGUUGGCUUAGAAGCAGCCAUCAUUUAAAGAGUGCGUAAUAGCUCACUAGUCGAGUGACACUGCGCCGAAAAUGUACCGGGGCUAAACAUAUUACCGAAGCUGUGGAUUGUCCUUUGGACAAUGGUAGGAGAGCGUUCUAAGGGCGUUGAAGCAUGAUCGUAAGGACAUGUGGAGCGCUUAGAAGUGAGAAUGCCGGUGUGAGUAGCGAAAGACGGGUGAGAAUCCCGUCCACCGAUUGACUAAGGUUUCCAGAGGAAGGCUCGUCCGCUCUGGGUUAGUCGGGUCCUAAGCUGAGGCCGACAGGCGUAGGCGAUGGAUAACAGGUUGAUAUUCCUGUACCACCUAUAAUCGUUUUAAUCGAUGGGGGGG